CCCGCUGAACUUAAGCAUAUCAAUAAGCGGAGGAAAAGAAACCAACAGGGAUUGCCUCAGUAACGGCGAGUGAAGCGGCAACAGCUCAAAUUUGAAAUCUGGCUUCUCGGAGCCCGAGUUGUAAUUUGUAGAGGAUGUUUCGGGUACCGCUGCGGCUUAAUUUUCUUGGAACAGAAUGUCAGAGAGGGUGAGAGUCCCGUCUGGAGCCGCGGUAGGGCCUAUGUGAAACUCCUUCGACGAGUCGAGUUGUUUGGGAAUGCAGCUCAAAAUGGGUGGUAAAUUUCAUCUAAAGCUAAAUAUUGGCCAGAGACCGAUAGCGCACAAGUAGAGUGAUCGAAAGAUGAAAAGCACUUUGAAAAGAGAGUUAAACAGUAUGUGAAAUUGUUGAAAGGGAAGCGCUGGCAACCAGACUUGCGUGUAGGGGUUCCCCCUCGCUUCUGCGUGGGUUACUCCCCUAUAUCCAGGCCAACAUCGGUUUUGGCGGUCGGUCAAAGGCCCUGGGAAUGUAUCUUCCCCCGGGAAGACUUAUAGCCCAGGGUGUCAUGCGGCCUGCCGGGACCGAGGAACGCGCUUCGGCUCGGAUGUUGGCGUAAUGGUUGUCAGCGACCCGUCUUGAAACACGG
RNAcentral lists this ribosomal RNA (623 nucleotides) under uncultured fungus. Its description in RNAcentral is "eukaryotic LSU rRNA". It matches the Rfam family "Eukaryotic large subunit ribosomal RNA", at positions 24 to 664 of the family's 3401-position model. The record is from RNAcentral. Lineage: Eukaryota; Fungi.